This 93-nucleotide microRNA precursor is filed under the name Anopheles gambiae (African malaria mosquito). Its description in RNAcentral is "microRNA aga-mir-927 precursor". Its record names the gene aga-mir-927. It matches the Rfam family "mir-927 microRNA precursor family". The record is from miRBase by way of RNAcentral. Lineage: Eukaryota; Metazoa; Arthropoda; Insecta; Diptera; Culicidae.
UAGUUAAUGGUUUGUUUUAGAAUUCCUACGCUUUACCCGUGAUUAAAGUAGUGCGGCAAAGCGUUUGGAUUCUGAAACGAAACGUUAACAACG